GACGAACGCUGGCGGCGUGCUUAACACAUGCAAGUCGAACGGUAAGGCCCUUCGGGGUACACGAGUGGCGAACGGGUGAGUAACACGUGGGUGAUCUGCCCUGCACUUCGGGAUAAGCCUGGGAAACUGGGUCUAAUACCGGAUAGGACCACUGCCUGCAUGGGUGGUGGUGGAAAGCUUUUGCGGUGGGGGAUGGGCCCGCGGCCUAUCAGCUUGUUGGUGGGGUGAUGGCCUACCAAGGCGACGACGGGUAGCCGGCCUGAGAGGGGGACCGGACACAGUGGGACGGAGAUACGGCCCAGACUCCGACGGGAGGCAGCAGUGGGGAAUAUUGCACAAUGGGCGCAAGCCUGAUGCAGCGACGCCGCGUGAGGGAUGACGGCCUUCGGGUUGUAAACCUCUUUCAGCACCGACGAAGCGCAAGUGACGGUAGGUGCAGAAGAAGGACCGGCCAACUACGUGCCAGCCGCCGCAGUAA
This 478-nucleotide ribosomal RNA is filed under the name uncultured bacterium. RNAcentral describes it as "partial 16S ribosomal RNA". It matches the Rfam family "Bacterial small subunit ribosomal RNA", at positions 28 to 523 of the family's 1533-position model. The record is from RNAcentral.